GGGCCUGUAGCUCAGUUGGUAGAGCAUCGCGUUUACACCGCGGUUGUCGUCGGUUCGAGCCCGGCCGGGCCCACCA
Molecule: transfer RNA, 76 nt
Filed under: Ornithinimicrobium ciconiae
Lineage: Bacteria; Bacillati; Actinomycetota; Actinomycetes; Micrococcales; Ornithinimicrobiaceae
Description: Ornithinimicrobium sp. H23M54 tRNA-Val
Rfam family: tRNA
About the family: Transfer RNA (tRNA) molecules are approximately 80 nucleotides in length. Their secondary structure includes four short double-helical elements and three loops (D, anti-codon, and T loops).
Source: RNAcentral